RNAcentral lists this long non-coding RNA (213 nucleotides) under Capsicum annuum. RNAcentral describes it as "long non-coding RNA (CANN_LNC017816)". The record is from RNAcentral. Lineage: Eukaryota; Viridiplantae; Streptophyta; Magnoliopsida; Solanales; Solanaceae.
AGGGAGGCACAACUUGUGGAUGAACAUAAAAAGUAGGAGCUUCAGAUGGGGGUGGCACCGCAAAAUCAUGAACAACAGGUGGAGCCGAGUAUGUGGUAGUCUUGGAUUGGGGAGUGAGGAAAUGAACAUUAAAAGUGGCUGGAUAUUGUUACCCCAGAGUCGAUCCUGAUGCAUAUUGUGGCAUAUCAACAAAAAUGGAAAAUUAUGCAUGUG